RNAcentral lists this ribosomal RNA (545 nucleotides) under uncultured fungus. RNAcentral's name for it is "partial 18S ribosomal RNA". It matches the Rfam family "Eukaryotic small subunit ribosomal RNA", at positions 250 to 761 of the family's 1831-position model. The record is from RNAcentral. Lineage: Eukaryota; Fungi.
GAUCUAAUAACUUAACGAAUCGCAUGGCCUUGUGCCGGCGAUGAUUCUUCAAUUAUUUCCCCAUUAUCUUUUUAUGGUAGGAUAAUGGCCUACCAUGGUUUCUACGGGUAACGGGGAAUUAUGGUUCUAUUCCUGAGAAGGAGCCUGAUAAACAGCUACCACCUCCUACGAAGGCAGCAGGCGCGCCAAUUACCCCCUCCCCACACGGGGAGGUAGUGACAAUAAAUACUGAUACAGGGCUCUUUUGGGUCUUGUUGUUGGAAUGAGUACUAUUUAUAUCCCUUAACAAGGAACAAUUGGAGGGCAAGUCUGGUGCCGCCAGCCGCCGUAAUUCCUCCUCCUAUAACGUAUAUUAAAAUUGUUGCAGUUAAAAAACUCGUAGUUGAACCUUGGGGCUGGCUGGCCGGUCCGCCUCACCACGUGCAGUGGUCCGGCCGGCUCUUUCCUCCUGGGGAACCUCCUGCCUUUUUUUAGGUGUGGUGGGGAAACAAGAAUUUUUUUAAGGCGAAUUCCCCGCCGCCAAAUUCAUUUCCCCCUACUAUGAG